GCUAGCUACAGGCUUAACACAUGCAAGUCGUGGGGCAUCAUGAUGUAGUAAUACAUUGAUGGCGACCGGCGCACGGGUGAGUAACGCGUAUCCAACCUACCCUCCACUCAAGUAUAGGCUUCCGAAAGGGAGAUUAAUCCUUGAUAUCGUCAUUCUCUCUCCUGUUAGAAUGAUAAAAGGACAUCGUUUCGGUAGAGGAUGGGGAUGCGUUCCAUUAGGUAGUAGGUGGUUUAACAGGCCACCUAGCCGAUGAUGGAUAGGGGUUCUGAGAGGAAUAUCCCCCACACUGGUACUGGGAUACGGACCAGACUCCUACGGGAGGCAGCAGUGAGGAAUAUUGGUCAAUGGGCGCAAGCCUGAACCAGCCAUGUAGCGUGAAGGAUGACAGUUUUUUUGAUUGUAAACUUCUUUUCUGUGCGAUUAAAGUGUGGCAUUUAUGCCAUAUUGCAGUUAUCUCAGGAAUAAGCAUCGGCUAACUCCGUGCCAGCAGCCGCGGUAAUACGGAGGAUGCGAGCGUUAUCCGGAUUUAUUGGGUUUAAAGGGAGCGUAGAUGGUUUUUUAAGUCAGCUGUCAAAUGUAUGGGCUCAACCCUUAUUAUCAGUUGAAACUGUAAGACUUGAGUGCGGUGUGGGUACAUGGAAUUCGUGGUGUAGCGGUGAAAUGCAUAGAUAUCACGAAGAACUCCGAAAGCGUAGGCAUUGUACCAUAGCGCCACUGACAUUGAUGCUCGAAGGUGCGGGGAUCAAACAGG
This 751-nucleotide ribosomal RNA is filed under the name uncultured bacterium. RNAcentral describes it as "bacterial SSU rRNA". It matches the Rfam family "Bacterial small subunit ribosomal RNA", at positions 35 to 776 of the family's 1533-position model. The record is from RNAcentral.